Molecule: ribosomal RNA, 259 nt
Filed under: uncultured bacterium
Lineage: Bacteria
Description: partial 16S ribosomal RNA
Rfam family: Bacterial small subunit ribosomal RNA
Source: RNAcentral
CGGGUGAGUAACACGUGAGUGACCUGCCUUUUAGACUGGAACAACUUACCGAAAGGUGAGCUAAUGCCGGAUGAGUUAUAUAAGUGCAUGUUUAUAUAGGAAAAGUUGGGGAGACCUGACGCUGAAAGAUGGACUCGCGUCCCAUUAGCUAGUUGGUAGGGUAAUGGCCUACCAAGGCGACGAUGGGUAGCCGGCCUGAGAGGGUGGCCGGCCACACCUGGGACUGAGACACGGCCCAGACUCCUACGGGAGGCAGCAG